This 1284-nucleotide long non-coding RNA is filed under the name Helianthus annuus (common sunflower). Its description in RNAcentral is "hypothetical non coding rna". Lineage: Eukaryota; Viridiplantae; Streptophyta; Magnoliopsida; Asterales; Asteraceae. The record is from RNAcentral.
GCUCAGCCCCAUUUCUUCUUUGCGCUCUCUCUCAAAAUAUAUUUUAUUACAUUAUAAUAAUAAUAAAGCCUGCUUCGUUUUAAGUAUUGUAACUCCCGAUCACCGCUAUGCUUUCCGAUUGAUCUGAGUCCCAUAACGCAUGUCAAGGCUCUGCCCGACUAAGUUCGUUUGGAUUCUAUCUCGGGACUUCGGGACAAGGUUGAAUUAGGGGUACUAUACUUACCACGAGUGCAUUAUAUAUUUUUAUAUAGCUCAGAAGUUAUACCCAAAAUUUAUACCAGGAGGUUUUCUAGUUGAACCCUAAAGUUACAAAGUGGGUCCAUUCUCUUUUCUCACCGUUUUAUUUCCUUUUUGUGAUUUACCCAAAACUAUUAUUUUUGUAAACAAAUCUCGUCAAAAGUUAUCUCUAUUAUUUUAUUUACCUAAUAGGAAACCUUAGUUGAGACACCCAAGUAAUUCUACACAAUCCCUAAAAUUUUCAGAAUAAACAGAAUCAGGAUCAGGGCCCCUAAAACUCAAAGGGGAUAAACCCUAAUCAAUAUUUAUCUUCUAAAUUCGUUGUUGAAAUUGAAUUUGAUCGUACAAUCAACUCAUCAAACCUAUACCACCGACUAGGCUACCCUAUAAUUAGACCACACCCCUUACGGACCAUAAGGGUUACGGCUUACGGUCCGUAAGCGAGGCUAUUUUCCGGGUAUAAAUAGAGGACCUUGGGACUUGCCUGAAGAAGUUGAAACGACGCACAAAUUCACUGUGAACGUCGUAUUAGAGCAGUAGUAGCACAAUUAAACACACGGGUCACGAAGUGCUGCCACAAAACAAGGUAAUAACUCGAUCGCUAUUACGAUUCAUUUUCCGACCGAUCAAUAUAUCCAAUGGAUGUUUAAGUGCCACCCACAUUAGGGUUAUACUUGUCGUUCGUCAUUAAAUCGAUGGAUGUUUAAGUAUCGCACUUUGUCGUUCGUUGUGAGAAUUUGAUCUCGUGAGUUAUCGUAAUUGUUGUAUUAAGUUACCUACCUAGUUCGUGUGCACUAGGUUACAAGGGUAAAUCAAUAGGCUAAGCUCUGGCUGUAUAAAUCUACAAUAUAUCAAACUUUGGCCGUAUGAAUCUGCAUGAUUAUAAUGUAAUUACAGUAGAUUGGAGUAAGGAUUGGAUCCGGCACUAAAAGACUUCAAGAAGUGGCUUAUUUUAUUAAUUAAAUCAAAUUAAGAAAUAUUGUUUUUAUUAAAAGCUACAUUUGUAGAAAUGGAAUUUAUUCCAUCUAUUUAAAUAAAAUCCGGUGU